CGGACGGGUGAGUAACGCGUGAGUAACCUGCCUUACACAAGGGGAUAGCCGUUGGAAACGACGAAUAAUACCCUAUGACAUAAACUCUUCGCAUGAGGAGCUUAUCAAAGAUUUAUCGGUGUAAGAUGGACUCGCGUCUGAUUAGCUAGUUGGUGAGGUAACGGCCCACCAAGGCGACGAUCAGUAGCCGGCUUGAGAGAGUGUACGGCCACAUUGGGACUGAGACACGGCCCAGACUCCUACGGGAGGCAGCAGG
Molecule: ribosomal RNA, 256 nt
Filed under: uncultured Anaerococcus sp.
Lineage: Bacteria; Bacillati; Bacillota; Tissierellia; Tissierellales; Peptoniphilaceae
Description: partial 16S ribosomal RNA
Rfam family: Bacterial small subunit ribosomal RNA
Source: RNAcentral